AGAGACAGACUGGCAUUGGCUGGAGGGGUCCUGAGAGGCUGUCAGACACGGUGGUAAUCAGCUUCACUUGUACACUGGCAUCCCCCAAGGAGCUUAAAAAUUCUGAUGCCUGGGUUCUGUCUCCCUGGAUUCUGAUUCAAUUCGUCUGUGGUGGACCCUGGGUGUGCACAUCUCAUCUGCUUGUCCUCCUAAUGUGGCUGUGACCCUCCGCUUAGACCAUGCUGUUAACAGGGAGCUCAUUCUCAAGCUCCUGAGAAGCCCUCUCCACUCUUGGAGAUACCAGUCCCCUCACUGGGUGAUCAUAAGGACUGAAGACGAUGCAUACUAAUGACAACCAGGAUGACCAUGAUGAUUAAUGUGAAUUUGGAUAUUUAUUAUGGGACAGACUUUGUGCAAAGUGUGCCCUUUAGCUCACAUACAUCACCGGAGUAUGCUUGGCACAUGGUAGAGUACAGCUGUCUAAGCAGAUGGGGGUGUGGAGUGGCACACCACCGUCUACUGGAUCCCCUCCCAGGGACCUGGAACAGCUCAUCUUCCUCACCAAGUGCUCUCCCACCUAUCUUCGCCUACCCCACCAGUCCCCACCUCUCUCCAUCAGGGCAUCUCUUCUGCCCUGAGCCCAGGGAAAGUAUAUGAUGGACAUCGACUCUUCUCAUCGUUCCCAUUGCCCCUCACAGUCCAGCAAAUGCACUUCAUCAACAAACCUCUCCACUGGAGACCUCAGGAGGAGCUAGAAGAUCAGAGGUGUACUGGAGGGGCUGCUGCUGCUGCCCUGAGCAUGUCAGGUGAUUAUAUAAGCUCUGUGCCAGACCUCCUGCAUGCUGCAACUCUGGGUUCAUGAUUGUUUCUGGCAAGGAAUCAGAUUCGAAACUUCUCCCUCUUUUAUUUAGUAAGAGGGAAGAGAAGUGCCACCCAGCUGAGCAUCUUGCUGUUUGGGUUGAGCUUUAGGACUUGGGGGGGGUGGUAAUUCCCAUCCAUAUGAGGAAAUUUUGUAUCUCAAAAACAGUAGUGUUUGCUGGAUAAUAAAUAUGACAUGCCUGCUUAAAUUUGAACUGCAGAUAAGCAAUAGAUUAAUUUUUUGGUAGAAGUAUAUAUGAUGCAAUAUUUGGAACAUAUUUCUAUUAAAAAUAUUUAUCUGAUGUGCAAAUUUACCUGGACAUCCUGUAUAUUAUCUAGCAACCUUAGAGUAAUUGGGCUUCUGUCUACCCUUCAGAUGCCAGGUCACUUAUGAUUUUUGAAAAAACAUUUGAGAGAGAGUAUGUGUAAAAGAGCACAAUCAAGGGGAAGGGCAGAGAGGGAGAAGCAGGUUCCCUACUUAGCAGGGAGUCCGAUGUGUGGCACCAUCCCAGGAUCCCAUUUAUGAUGAUGUGAAAGAUACCUGAGAAUAAGGGGGACCCCAUUUAUGAUGUGAAAGACACCUGGGAAUAACGGAGAUUUACAUGUAAUUUCCUGGCUGCAUACUAGUUUUGUAUUCAUAGCUCUUUGUGAAGUUAUUUAGACUCCUGGUUCUCAAAACAUAGUCCUGGACCAGAAAUGUCAGCAUCACCUAGUAUUUGGUAGAAAUGCAAAUAAAUUGCCAUGUCUCAUCUCGGCCAAUGAAUCAGACACUCUGGGGGGUGGGGCUCGCAAUCUGUCCAACAAACCCUCCAGGUGAUGCUGAUUCAGUUUGAGAACCAGAA
Canis lupus familiaris (dog) is the source of this 1679-nucleotide long non-coding RNA. RefSeq lists it as uncharacterized. NCBI's taxonomy places the organism in Eukaryota, Metazoa, Chordata, Mammalia, Carnivora, Canidae. The transcript is spliced from 4 exons. The record is from RefSeq and is a predicted model, not a curated record.